RNAcentral lists this ribosomal RNA (1732 nucleotides) under Monomorphina aenigmatica. RNAcentral's name for it is "bacterial LSU rRNA". It matches the Rfam family "Bacterial large subunit ribosomal RNA", at positions 1016 to 2771 of the family's 2925-position model. Lineage: Eukaryota; Euglenozoa; Euglenophyceae; Euglenales; Euglenaceae. The record is from RNAcentral.
AGGGAAACAGCCCAGACCACCAAUUAAGGCCCUAAAUAAUUGCUUAAUGACAAAGGAUGUAAUUGUACACAUACAAUCAGGAGGUUCGCUUAGAAGCAGCUACCCUUUAAAAAUCGCGUAAUAGCGUACUGAUCAAGUGCUUUUGCGCCGAAAAUGUACGGGACUAAGUAAUUUGCCGAAGUUGUGGGAUAAUAUCGGUAGAAGAGCGUUCUGUUUUAGUGUGAAGCAAUAGUGUAAAUAGUUGUGGACAAAGCAGAAGUGAGAAUGUCGGCUUAAGUAACGAAAACGUCAGUGGAAAUCUGACGCCCCGAAAAUCUAAGGAUUCCUAAGCAAGGUUCGUCCACUUAGGGUUAGUCAGGACCUAAAAUGAGGUUUAAAAACGUAAUUGAUGGAAAACGGGUUAAUAUUCCCGUACUGCUAUUUAUAUGGUUAGGAUUGACGAAGAAGGCUAUACCAUCCGAACAUUGGUUGUUUCGGUUUAAUCUUUCAAGGUGUUGAGAAGCAGAAAAAAUGCUUUGAGCUGAGAAGAAAAUACGAGAGAUACUACGGUAUUGCAAGUGGUAAAUGUCAAGCUUCCUAGAAAAGAUUCUAUAAUUGCUUUAAAUAGUACCUGUACCUUAAACUGACACAGGUAGAUUGGUAGAGAAUACCAAGGGGCGCGAGAUAACUCUUUCUAAGGAACUCGGCAAAAUGACUCUGUAACUUCGGGAGAAAGAGUGCCAUAUUUAUAAUAUGGUCGCAGUAAACGGACCCAAGCGACUGUUUACCAAAAACACAGGUCUCCGCUAAGUUGAAAAACUAUGUAUGGGGGCUGACGCCUGCCCAGUGCCGGAAGGUUAAAGAAAUUGGUUAGCUUACGCGAAGCUGGUGACUGAAGCCCUGGUGAACGGCGGCCGUAACUAUAACGGUCCUAAGGUAGCGAAAUUCCUUGUCGGGUAAGUUCCGACCCGCACGAAAGGCGUAACGAUUUGGGUACUGUCUCGGAAAGAGACUCGGUGAAAUAGAAUUGACUGUGAAGAUGCGGUCUACUCGCACUUGGACAGAAAGACCCUAUGAAGCUUUACUGUAACUUGAAACUGGUUUUGGGCUUUUUUUGCGCAGUAUAGGUGGGAGGCGUUGAUCCUCUUUUUCGGAAGUUGGUGAGCCGUAAUGUGAGAUACCACUCUAAAAAAGUUAAAAAUCUAAUGACAUUUUUUUAACAAGAUGAUUGACACUUUCAGGCGGGCAGUUUUACUGGGGCGGUAGCCUCCUAAAAGGUAACGGAGGCGUACAAAGGUUUUCUCAGUCUGGACGGAAAUUAGCUGGAGAGUGUAAAGACAUAAGAAAGCUUGACUGUGAGACCUACAAGUCGAACAGAGACUAAAGUCGGUCUUAGUGAUCCGACGGUGCUGUGUGGAAAGGCCGUCGCUCAACGGAUAAAAGUUACUCUAGGGAUAACAGGCUGAUCUCCUCCAAGAGUUCACAUCGACGAGGAGGUUUGGCACCUCGAUGUCGGCUCAUCGCAACCUGGGGCGGAAGUACGUCCCAAGGGUUGGGCUGUUCGCCCAUUAAAGCGGUACGUGAGCUGGGUUCAGAACGUCGAGAGACAGUUCGGUCCAUAUCCGGUGUGAGCGUUAGAGUAUUGAAAGGAGCUUUCCUUAGUACGAGAGGACCGGGAAAGACGCACCACUUAUGUACCAGUUUUUGUGCCAACAGAAUACGCUGGGUAGUAAUGUGUGGAGUGGAUAACUGC